UCUGGCGAAGAGUUUGUAAAUAAAAAAACGCAUGGUGAAUCCCCCUAAGCGGCGGGGCGAAUCAGCAGUCAGUUCUGGGAUAAUCGCGGGUUCGUAUGCUGAUGCCGGACUCACCGGGAGGCACCCGGCACCAUGCAUCAUGGUCAUCCCCUUGUAUGAUACCCCUCUCCGGAGGGGUAUUUUUUGGAUA
Molecule: small RNA, 190 nt
Filed under: Escherichia coli PMV-1
Lineage: Bacteria; Pseudomonadati; Pseudomonadota; Gammaproteobacteria; Enterobacterales; Enterobacteriaceae
Description: STnc100
Rfam family: Gammaproteobacterial sRNA STnc100
Source: RNAcentral